Molecule: long non-coding RNA, 200 nt
Filed under: Musa acuminata (dwarf banana)
Lineage: Eukaryota; Viridiplantae; Streptophyta; Magnoliopsida; Zingiberales; Musaceae
Description: long non-coding RNA (MACU_LNC007053)
Source: RNAcentral
GGCACUGCAUAUUGAAGGUUGCAGCAAGUUCGAUGUAAAAGUUGCCGACGGCAGAAUCCUAAAGUGCAACCAAAGAUGCCCGCAGGUGAAACUAUUACUGCAAGACCAAGAAAUUAUCACCGAUUUCUUCCUCCUACCAAUCGAUGACUAUGAGGCAGUGCUUGGUAUAGAAUGGCUGACUACACUAGGUGAUGUCUCUU